This is a long non-coding RNA of Mytilus californianus (California mussel), 325 nucleotides long. RefSeq lists it as uncharacterized. The record is from RefSeq and is a predicted model, not a curated record. Lineage: Eukaryota; Metazoa; Mollusca; Bivalvia; Mytilida; Mytilidae. The transcript has 3 exons.
UUUAUUAACAUUACAUGUUCAAUCAGUGUUCAAAUCGCUCGAAAUUUUGAACACCUCGUGUUAAAAAAAAUAUACCAGGAUACCAAAUACCGGAAACAGAUAUCGGCUGGCGAUUUAGGCGGUUAAACGAAGAAUGGAUACACAUAAGAAAGAGAACUGGAGAAGGGACUUCUAUCCCAUAUGAACACGAAAGAAGAAUCGUUAGAUUAAAAUGUUUGAAUUAGGAACCGGUAGCCAAUAAUCCCAAAAAGGUCAUUUCUGCAUGCUAUAAAGUGGUGGAAAAAAGAAAGAUGUCGAAAAAAGGAUAUAUAGGCUCAUAGACAUU